UGGGGAAUCUUGCGCAAUGGUCGAAAGACUGACGCAGCGACGCCGCGUGUGGGAUGACGCCUUUCGGGGUGUAAACCACUGUUGCCCGGGACGAAACGCCUUUUUCGAGAGGCUUGACGGUACCGGGUGAGGAAGCACCGGCUAACUCUGUGCCAGCAGCCGCGGUAAUACAGAGGGUGCGAGCGUUGUCCGGAAUCACUGGGCGUAAAGGGCGCGUAGGCGGCUGGGGAAGUCUAGGGUGAAAGCUCGCGGCUCAACUGCGAGUCGGCCAAGGAUACUCCUCAGCUCGAGUCGACUAGAGGCAGAUGGAAUUCCGGGUGUAGCGGUGGAAUGCGUAGAGAUCCGGAAGAACACCGGUGGCGAAGGCGGUCUGCUGGGGUCGAACUGACGCUGAGGCGCGACAGCGUGGGGAGCAAACAGGAUUAGAUACCCCCGUAGUCC
RNAcentral lists this ribosomal RNA (441 nucleotides) under uncultured bacterium. RNAcentral describes it as "bacterial SSU rRNA". It matches the Rfam family "Bacterial small subunit ribosomal RNA", at positions 355 to 796 of the family's 1533-position model. The record is from RNAcentral.